CGCAGACGCACUGACGUAACGCAUCAUAUAAGUGAGCUUGGAGCAGGAGGUUUCCUCCUUUUACCGGUCUUUUCUUCGUGAGUAGUUGUAUCAAGGUUACGACCUUACUGCUGAAUGUGAUGGGGAGCAGUUCAUCUUGAAGUUUGUGAUGACCCUCCAGGACAUGAGGUGCUGGAGAAUACCUCAGGCCAGCUGGGGUUCCUCUGUCCAGGCCUUCAGCACUGCUGGAACAAGGUGGACUUCUAGAUGAAUCUCUAAGAUGUCUAAAGCAAACAGGAUGCACCUUACCACAGUUUGGAGAGCCACCCCGGGAGGCUGUGAAUGUCCACAUCUGAAUGAAAGUGUUCCUGCUCCAAUAACGCCAUGUGCUUCUGGUCCUGUGUACAUGUCUCACUCUGUACUGCCAAACUGUCACCCAGCUUGUGCUGCUGCAGAGAACAGCCUUCUGUUCUCAGGCUCCAGCAAGGAUUCAACAACCAAGGCUGCGGCGAUGAGACGCAUGAACUUGUGGCAGCGUUAUUGAGGUUGCCAUGGUUGCACAGGAAGCCACAGCACCGGGUCAAGAGAAGAAAACCUUUGAGAGACUGGCUGUGACCCUGUCAGCAUCAGCGAUACGGAGGCGGCCACCAGUGGCCACUGCUCACUCUG
Molecule: long non-coding RNA, 648 nt
Organism: Monopterus albus (swamp eel)
Lineage: Eukaryota; Metazoa; Chordata; Actinopteri; Synbranchiformes; Synbranchidae
Exons: 7
Source: RefSeq, a predicted model, not a curated record